UCGAGAAUUUUUCACAAUGGGCGCAAGCCUGAUGGAGCGACGCCGCGUGGGGGAUGAAUGGCUUCGGCCCGUAAACCCCUGUCAUUCGCGAUCAAACGUUGGUAUUUAAAAGAUGCCAGCCUGAUAGUAGCGGAAGAGGAAGGGACGGCUAACUCUGUGCCAGCAGCCGCGGUAAUACAGAGGUCCCGAGCGUUGUUCGGAUUCACUGGGCGUAAAGGGUGCGUAGGUGGUGAGGUAAGUCGGAUGUGAAAGCUCGGAGCUCAACUCCGAAAUGGCAUUGGAAACUACCUUGCUUGAGGAGUGGAAGGGGGACUGGAAUGCUUGGUGUAGCAGUGAAAUGCGUAGAUAUCAAGCGGCACACAAGUGGCGAAGGCGAGUCCCUGGACAACACCUGACACUGAGGCACGAAAGCUAGGGGAGCAAACA
Molecule: ribosomal RNA, 426 nt
Filed under: uncultured bacterium
Lineage: Bacteria
Description: bacterial SSU rRNA
Rfam family: Bacterial small subunit ribosomal RNA
Source: RNAcentral